Non-coding RNA from Schizosaccharomyces pombe (fission yeast), 847 nucleotides. The record is from the annotation of a GenBank genome assembly. NCBI's taxonomy places the organism in Eukaryota, Fungi, Ascomycota, Schizosaccharomycetes, Schizosaccharomycetales, Schizosaccharomycetaceae.
UUUAAGGCAUUAUAUCAAUCAUAAAACAAGCAUCGCUAAAGUCUCGCCUACAAUACAACCUGUCUAUCAAAUACUAGACUCUGCUAUGCCGGAAACAAGCACAAGAAAAAAAUGGAGAGACAAGGGUUUAAAGAUUUAAUAUUAAUUAAGUAAACUAAACAAUGCAAGCUGGAGUUCAUAAUACUUUAAACUCGUAAAGUUAAUCCCUCAAGAGGAUCGGCUUCUUCAAAGAAACUCAAAUAAGAGUCAUCAGUGAGAGCCAUCAUUUCAUAAGAGACCGCAGUAUAAGAGUCGGGGCAUGUAACAUUGGUAGCAUAAUCGCAACCAGAGCUAGAGCAGUUGAAACGUCCAAUUUCGGCAAUGCGGUUGGGACGGUUGGAGUAGACAGUAGAAUCGUUGGCAACGGAGGAGAGGUUGAAGAGAAUGAAUCGGCCAGUGCCAUUAACACCUUCAACAGUGAUGGGGAAACCGCUAGUAUCGAGAUGGAAGUUAAGUUCGCAACUACCGGAAACUUGAGGAACAUCAAAUGUGAAAAUCGUGUUGGUAUGAUUGUUUUGCUUCUGAAAGACGACGGGUGAGUAAACAUUACCGGAGUUAGCUUCAGGCUUAGUCGAAUCAAUUAAACGAAUGCCAUGGGGGAACAAAGGAUAUACAGCAGCAGAAGGUGAUGGAGUUGCAGCUUCACUUUGGCUAGCGGCAGUGGUGAUAACAGGGACAACAAUACACUUGGUGGUAUAAGCAACGACGCUAGAAGCAGAAGGACUGGGUCCAACAUAUGUGGUAGUUUUAGUAGUAGUGGCAGUGUUUUUACGUUGGGUAGAAGUAACGGUAGAGGGCUGAGUGGAUG